This is an RNA transcript of Lolium rigidum, 1715 nucleotides long. RefSeq lists it as uncharacterized. The record is from RefSeq and is a predicted model, not a curated record. The transcript is spliced from 5 exons. Lineage: Eukaryota; Viridiplantae; Streptophyta; Magnoliopsida; Poales; Poaceae.
GGGGAGGGGAGCAACGGGCGCAGGGUACAACGAGCUCACGGAUCCUAGAAUGUGUUCAAGGAGUGGAGCUUGCGCUUAGUGGGAUGGUUGGCCACCCGCGUGAAGCAAAAAGUACAAAAUUCUCCCAAUUUUUUUAUAUGUUCUGUUUGUUGAACAAAUUGCCAUAGUACAAGGAGUCAGGACCUGGGAUAUUUUAGAACAAUACUUCAUACAGCUACCAGAUGGAACAUAUUUACUUGAAGAGUUUACUCGGUUGAACUGAAUAAAUCAAGUGGUGGCACAUUGGGACGGUAGCUUACUCUGUUUUGCAGGUUGAGGAGAUGAUGGUAGGUGGAGCAUGUAUAGAAGAGGCUUUCGUCAUUUGUCAACUGAGUUUGUAAUAUAAAAUUAGAACCUUAUCUUCUGCAAACAGUGCAUGAAGAUUUACAGUAGCAAGGCAUCUUAUCAUGGACAUAUUUUUGACUUGGCUGAUUAGGAUGUAAGUGAAAAAUGAUUUCCUGAAAUAUGCACAUUGCAUCCUAGAAAGUUGUGAAUAAAAAUAUGGUUCAGGGGCUAUAAUUCUUGGUGUGAGCCGCUUUGAACACAAGAAUUAUCAGUUUUAUUUAACUUCAGCAGUGUGUAAAAAAUAUAUUGUGUGAUUAAGUGCUUUGCCUCACUAUUUAUUGCAUACUGAUGUGCCGCUUUUUUGUCAUGAUUUUUUUCUGUAUAAAAUUGUAAGUUGCAUACUUGCAUUUCAAUAAACUCAAAUAUGAUUAGUUUUUUUUUUCCAUGGUGCACAUAGUUUUAGGUUAUCUGAGAUAGAUCUGAAUGUAUAUUUAGGCUCAAGGAUAUAGCCUAUUUCUAUAUUUAGGUUCAGUGAUAAAUCGAAUCUACAUGUACUAAUUAUUAAAUAAAUGUGGCCUGCCAUCAUCUUUUAGGCUGUAGGUUCCUCGCUGGUUCAUUUUGUUGCGAGGGGUGCUCCCAGCUCAAAGGGAGAUCCGAUCAUUGCCAGUGUUUGGGUGACUCGACUUUGCAGCAGGUGGAGCAGUAGUGGAUGGGGUCUUCGUGUUCAUCACAGAGGUGGAGAUGAGCUCAAACUGUUAGUGGUCAAAGCAUGGGAAGGGAGCAAAGAGCAAGGCCGGAAACAUGGGUAUGCAGAUAUCAUGCAUCCUCUCUUGGGAGAAGACCAAGAAAGCCACAUGGAUAAUCUGGCUUAUUGAAGUAAGCUUCUUGCCUAAUGAAGCAACCAGCAUUAGUUUUUCUGUGGUGUCGACCUUAUGUGUCGAGAAUGCAGGUGUGCCCAUCACAAAGCUUGCUCUGUACAUAUAUCAUUUUUUUCUACUGGUGCGAGCUUUCCAAAUUUAUUUUUUGAAUCAUGCCUUGGUUAAAGUUAAAUAUGGACCAAUGCAUUUUCUUCCUAAAAUACUUCUCCUGCCUGUGUUGAUGGUCACAUUUUUCCUGUUUUCACUGAUGUACCUAAGAUACAUAAUCAGAGGUGUCAUCAUGGGCAUCUGAGACACACUGCACAAAUUCUCUGAAAAUAAAGAAUGUCGCUGCAACAAUUCGUCUUCAGCAUUUAGUGUUAUGGUAUCUUCCUAAAAUACUUCUCCUGCCAAUGUCGAUGGUCACAUUUUUUCUUGUUUUCACUGACGUACUUAAGAUACAUGCCUUAUAUGUAGACCAUAAGGGUUAUUACAUGAUUAGUUUGUACAUUUAUCCAAAUAUAAUCCAUAAAA